RNAcentral lists this ribosomal RNA (480 nucleotides) under uncultured bacterium. Its description in RNAcentral is "partial 16S ribosomal RNA". It matches the Rfam family "Bacterial small subunit ribosomal RNA", at positions 28 to 507 of the family's 1533-position model. The record is from RNAcentral.
GACGAACGCUGGCGGCGUGCUUAACACAUGCAAGUCGAACGGAAAGGCCUGCUUUCCCUUGUGGAUUGCGGGUACUCGAGUGGCGAACGGGUGAGUAACACGUGAGUGAUCUGCCCCCAACUUGGGUAUAAGCCUGGGAAACUGGGUCUAAUUCCCGCUAGGACUGCAGGGUGGUGCCUGUGGUGGAAAACGAUUUUCUAGUGGUGGGGGAUGAGCUCGCGGCCUAUCAGCUUGUUGGUGGGGUAGUGGCCUACCAAGGCGGCGCCGGGUAGCCGGCCUGGGAGGGUGACCGGGGACAUUGGGACAGAGAUACGGGGGGGGCGCCUACGGGGGACAGCGGCGGGGGGGAGGGAACAAUGGGCGGAAGCCUGAGGGAGGAGCGCCGCGUGCGGGGUUACGGCCUUCUGUUUGGAAGCCGCGUACGCCUGUGGUGGAACGGGUGGGGCGUUAAUGGGUAAAGAAGCACCGGCUAACUACGUG